UAUCCUACGGGAGGCUGCAGUGGGGAAUAUUGGACAAUGGGCGCAAGCCUGAUCCAGCCAUGCCGCGUGAGUGAUGACGGCCUUAGGGUUGUAAAGCUCUUUCGCCAGGGACGAUAAUGACGGUACCUGGAUAAGAAGCCCCGGCUAACUUCGUGCCAGCAGCCGCGGUAAUACGAAGGGGGCUAGCGUUGUUCGGAAUCACUGGGCGUAAAGCGCACGUAGGCGGAUCUUUAAGUCAGAGGUGAAAUCCCAAGGCUCAACCUUGGAACUGCCUUUGAUACUGGGGAUCUCGAGUUCGGGAGAGGUGAGUGGAACUGCGAGUGUAGAGGUGAAAUUCGUAGAUAUUCGCAAGAACACCAGUGGCGAAGGCGGCUCACUGGCCCGAUACUGACGCUGAGGUGCGAAAGCGUGGGGAGCAAACAGGAUUAGAUACCCCUGUAGUC
RNAcentral lists this ribosomal RNA (443 nucleotides) under uncultured Methylocystaceae bacterium. RNAcentral describes it as "bacterial SSU rRNA". It matches the Rfam family "Bacterial small subunit ribosomal RNA", at positions 335 to 795 of the family's 1533-position model. Lineage: Bacteria; Pseudomonadati; Pseudomonadota; Alphaproteobacteria; Hyphomicrobiales; Methylocystaceae. The record is from RNAcentral.